CUCCCACGCCCUCCGUCGGGUAACCCUCCCACGCUCUCCGUCGGGUAACCCUCCCACGCUCUCCGUCGGGUCACCCUCCCACACCGCCUCCGCCGGUUAACCCUCCCACGCUCUCCGUCGGGUAACCCUCCCACGCUCUCCGUCGGGUAACCCUCCCACGCUCUCCGUCGGGUCACCCUCCCACACCGCCUCCGCCGGUUAACCCUCCCACGCUCUCCGUCGGGUAACCCUCCCACGCUCUCCGUCGGGUCACCCUCCCACGCUCUCCGCCGGUUAACCCUCCCACGCUCUCCGCCGGUUAACCCUCCCACGCUCUCCGUCGGGUAACCCUCCCACGCUCUCCGUCGGGUAACUCUCCCACGCUCUCCGUCGGGUAACCCUCCCACGCUCUCCGUCGGGUCACCCUCCCACGCUCUCCAUCAGGUAACCCUCCAUCAGGUAACCCUCCCACGCUCUCCGUCGGGUAACCCUCCCACGCCUCCAUCAGGUAACCCUCCCACGCCUCCAUCAGGUAACCCUCCCACGCCUCCAUCAGGUAACCCUCCCGCGCCGCCUCCGUCGGGUAACCCUCCCACGCCGCCUCCAUCAGGUAACCCUCCCACGCCGCCUCCAUCAGGUAACCCUCCCACGCGCCUCCGUCGGGUAACCCUCCCACGCUCUCCAUCAGGUAACCCUCCCACGCUCUCCGUCGGGUAACCCUCCCACGCUCUCCAUCAGGUAACCCUCCCACGCGCCUCCGUCGGGUAACCCUCCCACGCUCUCCAUCAGGUAACCCUCCCACGCCUCCAUCAGGUAACCCUCCCACGCCUCCAUCAGGUAACCCUCCCGCGCCGCCUCCGUCGGGUAACCCUCCCACGCUCUCCGUCGGGUAACCCUCCCACGCCUCCAUCAGGUAACCCUCCCACGCCUCCAUCAGGUAACCCUCCCACGCCUCCAUCAGGUAACCCUCCCGCGCCGCCUCCGUCGGGUAACCCUCCCACGCCGCCUCCAUCAGGUAACCCUCCCACGCCGCCUCCAUCAGGUAACCCUCCCACGCGCCUCCGUCGGGUAACCCUCCCACGCUCUCCAUCAGGUAACCCUCCCACGCUCUCCGUCGGGUAACCCUCCCACGCUCUCCAUCAGGUAACCCUCCCACGCGCCUCCGUCGGGUAACCCUCCCACGCUCUCCAUCAGGUAACCCUCCCACGCCUCCAUCAGGUAACCCUCCCACGCCUCCAUCAGGUAACCCUCCCACGCUCUCCAUCAGGUAACCCUCCCACGCUCUCCGUCGGGUAACCCUCCCACGCUCUCCGUCGGGUAACCCUCCCACACCGCCUCCGUCGGGUAACCCUCCCACGCCGCCUCCGUCAGGUAACCCUCCCACGCCGCCUCCAUCAGGUAACCCUCCCACGCUCUCCGUCGGGUAACCCUCCCACGCGCCUCCGUCGGGUAACCCUCCCACGCUCUCCGUCGGGUAACCCUCCCACGCUCUCCGUCGGGUAACCCUCCCACGCUCUCCGUCGGGUAACCCUCCCGCGCCGCCUCCGUCGUGUAACCCUCCCACGCGCCUCCGUCGGGUAACCCUCCCGCGCCGCCUCCGUCGGGUAACCCUCCCACGCUCUCCGUCGGGUAACCCUCCCACGCUCUCCGUCGGGUAACCCUCCCACGCCGCCUCCAUCAGGUAACCCUCCCACGCUCUCCAUCAGGUAACCCUCCCACGCUCUCCGUCGGGUAACCCUCCCACGCUCUCCGUCGGGUAACCCUCCCACACCGCCUCCGUCGGGUAACCCUCCCACGCCGCCUCCGUCAGGUAACCCUCCCACGCCGCCUCCAUCAG
Molecule: long non-coding RNA, 1816 nt
Organism: Salvelinus fontinalis (brook trout)
Lineage: Eukaryota; Metazoa; Chordata; Actinopteri; Salmoniformes; Salmonidae
Exons: 3
Source: RefSeq, a predicted model, not a curated record